Molecule: long non-coding RNA, 315 nt
Organism: Xenia sp. Carnegie-2017
Lineage: Eukaryota; Metazoa; Cnidaria; Anthozoa; Malacalcyonacea; Xeniidae
Exons: 2
Source: RefSeq, a predicted model, not a curated record
UUGGAUCUCCACGUUUUCCUGCACGUGGUUUAAUUAUACCCAACCGAAACUAAGUAGGACAGCUGGUGUAGUUUCUGGAAGUUGUAUGAAGGAGCGUAGUGCUGAAUGCAAGUUUAAAAUACUUCGAGAUGAUCUCAUCUGUGACAUUAUCAUAUGUGGACUUAAUGAUAACCGUCUUCGUGAACGUCUUCUUCGAGAACCAGAAUAAACACUACAGAAAACUAUACAAAUGGACAUGCUGCUGAGAAAACAACGGGACAAACGAAGGAACUUAAAAAGGAAAUUAAAAGGCAAAGAAUAUAUUGACAGUAUACA